UGGGGAAUAUUGCACAAUGGGGGAAACCCUGAUGCAGCGACGCCGCGUGAGUGAAGAAGUAUUUCGGUAUGUAAAGCUCUAUCAGCAGGGAAGAUAAUGACAGUACCUGACUAAGAAGCCCCGGCUAACUACGUGCCAGCAGCCGCGGUAAUACGUAGGGGGCAAGCGUUAUCCGGAUUUACUGGGUGUAAAGGGAGCGUAGACGGAAUGGCAAGUCUGAAGUGAAAUACCCGGGCUCAACCUGGGAACUGCUUUGGAAACUGUUGUUCUAGAGUGUUGGAGAGGUAAGUGGAGUUCCUGGUGUAGCGGUGAAAUGCGUAGAUAUCAGGAAGAACACCGGAGGCGAAGGCGGCUUACUGGACAAUAACUGACGUUGAGGCUCGAAAGCGUGGGGAUCAAACAGGAUUAGAUACCCUGGUAGUCCACGCUGUAAACGAUGAAUACUAGGUGUCGGGGUGCAAAGCAUCUCGGUGCCGUCGCUAACGCAAUAAGUAUUCCACCUGGGGAGUACGUUCGCAAGAAUG
Molecule: ribosomal RNA, 524 nt
Filed under: uncultured bacterium
Lineage: Bacteria
Description: bacterial SSU rRNA
Rfam family: Bacterial small subunit ribosomal RNA
Source: RNAcentral